RNAcentral lists this ribosomal RNA (522 nucleotides) under uncultured bacterium. RNAcentral's name for it is "bacterial SSU rRNA". It matches the Rfam family "Bacterial small subunit ribosomal RNA", at positions 8 to 518 of the family's 1533-position model. The record is from RNAcentral.
AGAGUUUGAUUAUGGCUCAGGAUGAACGCUAGCUACAGGCUUAACACAUGCAAGUCGAGGGGCAUCAGGGUCUGUGCUUGCACAGAUUGCUGGCGACCGGCGCACGGGUGAGUAACGCGUAUCCAACCUUCCCCUUAGUAGAGGAUAGCCCGGCGAAAGUCGGAUUAAUACUCUAUGUUGUUCAAUGCGGACAUCUAAGUUGAACCAAAGGUUUACCGCUAAGGGAUGGGGAUGCGUCUGAUUAGGUAGUAGGCGGGGUAACGGCCCACCUAGCCGACGAUCAGUAGGGGUUCUGAGAGGAAGGUCCCCCACAUUGGAACUGAGACACGGUCCAAACUCCUACGGGAGGCAGCAGUGAGGAAUAUUGGUCAAUGGACGAGAGUCUGAACCAGCCAAGUAGCGUGCCAGGAUGACGGCCCUAUGGGUUGUAAACUGCUUUUAUGCGGGGAUAAAGUGAGGGACGUGUCCCUUAUUGUAGGUACCGCAUGAAUAAGGACCGGCUAAUUCCGUGCCAGCAGCCGC